GAUGAACGCUGGCGGCGUGCCUAAUACAUGCAAGUCGAGCGAACAGACGAGGAGCUUGCUCCUCUGACGUUAGCGGCGGGCGGGUGAGUAACACGUGGAUAACCUACCUAUAAGACUGGGAUAACUUCGGGAAACCGGAGCUAAUACCGGAUAAUAUAUUGAACGGCAUGGUUCAAUAGUGAAAGACGGUUUUGCUGUCACUUAUAGAUGGAUCCGCGCCGCAUUAGCUAGUUGGUAAGGUAACGGCUUACCAAGGCAACGAUGCGUAGCCGACCUGAGAGGGUGAUCGGCCACACUGGAACUGAGACACGGUCCAGACUCCUACGGGAGGCAGCAGUGGGGAAUCUUCCGCAAUGGGCGAAAGCCUGACGGAGCAACGCCGCGUGAGUGAUGAAGGUCUUCGGAUCGUAAAGCUCUGUUAUUAGGGAAGAACAAAUGUGUAAGUAACUAUGCACGUCUUGACGGUACCUAAUCAGAAAGCCCCGGCUAACUACGUG
RNAcentral lists this ribosomal RNA (497 nucleotides) under uncultured bacterium. RNAcentral describes it as "partial 16S ribosomal RNA". It matches the Rfam family "Bacterial small subunit ribosomal RNA", at positions 28 to 507 of the family's 1533-position model. The record is from RNAcentral.